Molecule: long non-coding RNA, 664 nt
Organism: Eptesicus fuscus (big brown bat)
Lineage: Eukaryota; Metazoa; Chordata; Mammalia; Chiroptera; Vespertilionidae
Exons: 5
Source: RefSeq, a predicted model, not a curated record
UAUUAUAUAAAAUUACAGAAAAUGCUCUCAACAAUGUGCUUGAAAGAGCUCUAGUAUGAGUUAUAUAUUAAUGUUUUUUAUGUUACCCUUCAUUCUGAAGAAAGAAGAUGACCAGGUGCCAACCAGGAAGAGAGCCCUCCCCAGCAGACACUGACUCUGCUGGCACCUUGAUUUUGGAUUUCCCAGCCUCCAGAACUGUGAGAAACAUCACCCUCCAAAGAACUGCUUGCUCUCCUAAUACCACCUUAGUGUCUGCUUACUCAAGGACCUGAAGUGGUGCAGUAAGGCACCAGCACUGAAGAUUGGGGACUGGAUCAUUCACCAUUUGUCUGGCAAUGGCAGCCCUGCCCCAGGUGACUACAGAACUCAGGUUCAGAAAGAAUCCAUGCUGGGUUAGAAAGCUAGUGUCUGUGAGGGUGCUUCUAGAAGAGAAUUGCAUUUGAUUAUUGGCAGAGUAAAGCAGAUGCCUUCCCCAGUGUGGGUAAACCUCAUCCAACCCAUUGAGAACUGAAGAGAACAACAUUGUGGAGAAAGGGAGGAUUCCCUCUCUGUCUACCUGACUGGUUGAACUGGAGUAUCCAGCCCUGGCUACUCCUGGUUCUACAGAGAUUUCUUCUUCCUGGAAAGAAAUGUCAAUCUGCAUAUUAAAGACUUAAAAAAACUC